Molecule: long non-coding RNA, 1128 nt
Filed under: Heterocephalus glaber (naked mole-rat)
Lineage: Eukaryota; Metazoa; Chordata; Mammalia; Rodentia; Bathyergidae
Description: lncRNA (ENSHGLG00100035412.1)
Source: RNAcentral
UGUUUGAACCUGGAGUUCAUUCUUUAGAGAGCCAGGAGGAACAGAAUGAAGAGACUCCCAUCACAGAUGGCAGGUGGGAGCUGGAAGCCCAUGCAGACCAAGAGUGUGGAACUCCAACUCCUCUGGCCAGGGGAAUAAAGAUGAAAUUGUCCUCUAGUUCACCUUGGAGAAAAUGCAUCUUGAUUUUUCAGUCUGGCUUUUGCUAAACGAUGGGAACGCCCACUUGCUACACUGUUGUCUCCGCAACCAGUAACCCUGCCCAGAACACUGGCUGAAGAUAAACAUAAUGGAGGCAGCACGGAGACAGGAUAUUUCCUGGUGGAAUUCCAGGCUUGCCCUGUGUGCAACGCAAAUCCUGUGCUCAGCUGGCAAGGUUGCGAAGGUCUUUCUUCCAUGCCAGGUUGGUCUGAUAAUCCAUGCCAUGUUUUGACAUACUUUGUGUAUUACAACUCAUACACUUUUGCUUCUAUGGCAACUGAUAGCUUUGUAAACUGGCUUUUGAGGCCCUAGGGAAAGAAAUACAUUGGCAGAGUGCUUAGGGUUUCAUUUUUCUGUAAAACAGAAAAAGCAAGAUACUCUGGGGCUGGCUCUGAUGAUCGGACAAGAGAUUAUGUAAUUACCCUCGACGUGCAGCUUCUACGGAGCCAAGAAAUGGCUUUAACUCUUCAGAAGGCCCAUGUUGACUUCAAACAACUUCAAAUCUGCAGACCGGAGCAUCUGGACAGAUGGCAGAUAGCUCAGAGUGGACACAUCCGGCCCGUCCACCACAGAGAAUCUGUGACCUUUGAGAUGGAGUUCGUGUUCGGAUCAGAGUUGGGCUUUUGGAAGAUGCCCUGGCUGAGUCCUGCUCUUCAGAUCCUCACUUCAUCACGAAACCCUCGGCUGGAAUUCGCGGUGGCCUUGGGAGCAGAGGGGCUUGGAACGACCUCGGCCCCCUCGGGGUGCAGGUCCGCCGGCACCCUCGCCUGCCGCCACGUGGACACCGCCCCUCGUGAACCCGCGGGAGCCGCUGUGCCCCAAACGUCCAGCCCGGCGCCUGUUCCCAGGCUGCUGCCCCCAACCGCACGGCCCUCGGGCCCAGCGCGGGGCUCUCUCCCUGCCGGGCCGGCCGGAGGGCCCUCCUCGCAC